GACAGAAUGACAUAGUGUUUUGAGCAUCGGAUUAUGAUUAUGGAGACCUGGGUUCAAAUCCCAGUUUGGCCA
Phrynosoma platyrhinos (Desert horned lizard) is the source of this 72-nucleotide non-coding RNA. Lineage: Eukaryota; Metazoa; Chordata; Lepidosauria; Squamata; Phrynosomatidae. The record is from the annotation of a GenBank genome assembly.